GGUCGGAUAAGGCGUUUACGCCGCAUCCGACAACAACCGCCUGAUGCGACGCUGGUGCGUCUUAUCAGGCC
RNAcentral lists this non-coding RNA (71 nucleotides) under Escherichia marmotae. RNAcentral describes it as "Nucleoid-associated noncoding RNA 4 (CssrE)". It matches the Rfam family "Nucleoid-associated noncoding RNA 4 (CssrE)". Rfam says of the family: In E. coli small RNA transcribed from repeated extragenic palindromic element (REP325) called nucleoid-associated ncRNA 4 (nRNA4) collaborates HU protein in condensing the DNA. The secondary structure but not the sequence of the RNA is important in nucleoid condensation. Lineage: Bacteria; Pseudomonadati; Pseudomonadota; Gammaproteobacteria; Enterobacterales; Enterobacteriaceae. The record is from RNAcentral.